Molecule: small RNA, 85 nt
Filed under: Canis lupus dingo (dingo)
Lineage: Eukaryota; Metazoa; Chordata; Mammalia; Carnivora; Canidae
Description: NoRC associated RNA, pRNA (ENSCAFG00020026502.1)
Rfam family: NoRC associated RNA, pRNA
Source: Rfam by way of RNAcentral
CCGUGGGGCAGGUUUUGGGUACAGUUGGCCGUGUCACGGUCCCGGGAGGUCGCGGUGACCUGUGGCUGGUCCCCGCCGGCAGGCG